GCCUCCAUUCACUCGAUAAUAGCUUGUUACGUUAGCUUUUUCUUUCCUUUCUUGGUUCCUCAUUGCAUGUCCCUUCAAAUGAAUUGUGGGGACUAGAGCUGAAUUAUGAGCAAACUCUCUCCUUACGUGUAUGGCUUUUGCAAGAAUAUAAUGUGUCUCUGUUUUUUUCUCCCAAUGCAUAUUCUUGAAUGCAAUCCUUGGGGAUAGGGAGUCUAUGUUUUCUUCUUCCUAGGUAUAUUGCCAUCCUGAUCAGCCGGAGAGAGUCGUGGAGGUCAGAGGAGUGAUGACGGUCGUGGUUAGAGGCAAAGCACGAGGUUUUCAAAGACAAAUGAGCGGCAUAGCUGAGGAGAACAGCGGUGGUAAUUGCUUGGCUAUCUAAGUUGGCUGCAGUGACGGAAAUGAUGAGGCGGGGGAGCUCAUGGACUCGAGGUUGCCAAUGGUGGAAAUGGACUUGACAGAGGUGGUUCAUUAUGCAACUUGCUAACCAGUGCUAGAGUCUCACGCUUCCCAAGACUCUUCCACUCAUGAAUCUUUUAGCGGAAUCUCUAGAGGUAGGAGAGCUCCCGAAGUGUGAGAUUUCGAGCGGUAAAAGACGAUAGAGGCGAUCACGGAGAGGCAAGCGACGAUGAUGUGGUCGCCAGUUAUGGCGUACUCGAAUUCCUAGUAUUUUGAGCUGAGCAGUAUAUAUAAUUUUAGUAAAAAUAAAAAUUGCAUCAAAUUGUUUAUUUAA
Molecule: non-coding RNA, 730 nt
Organism: Punica granatum (pomegranate)
Lineage: Eukaryota; Viridiplantae; Streptophyta; Magnoliopsida; Myrtales; Lythraceae
Source: RefSeq, a predicted model, not a curated record